Herpailurus yagouaroundi (jaguarundi) is the source of this 449-nucleotide long non-coding RNA. RefSeq lists it as uncharacterized. The transcript is spliced from 2 exons. The record is from RefSeq and is a predicted model, not a curated record. NCBI's taxonomy places the organism in Eukaryota, Metazoa, Chordata, Mammalia, Carnivora, Felidae.
AUCCAGGAGGCUCUCUUCAAAGGAAGUCCAACUCAGACCAGCUCAUAAGAGAAAUCUCAAGAUUUGACCUGAAGGAUAAUUAUUCAUCUUACCCAUUACCAUGGAAACUGCAAUGACUUCUUGUGGGAGAAAUAUACCUCCGUGUGUCAACUGAUAUCGGUCUUAGUCAUGUGACUUGCUUUAGUCAAAAGCAUGUGUGACUCAUGCCACAUCCAAGCAGAAGCUUUAAGAGCCAUGAUGAGUGUCUCUUGCUCUUUUUCUUUAGGCCUGAAAAAGACAUGUUUCAAAUAAAAGCUGCUCCUUUAUCUGGAUCCUGGAAUAAGAGGAUAACACAGAGCCACAGCUGAUCCUCAGACACUUUUGUUAUUCUAAAUUACUGAGAUUUACGAAUCAUUUGUUACCAAAGCAUAGCUGACUUAUACAUCAAUAAAUUGCUUUUGAUGCACAAA